CCCUCUGUAGUUUAAAAAAAAUUUUAAUUUUGUAAAUUAAAGAUGCUUCGCCAGGGGAA
Molecule: transfer RNA, 59 nt
Filed under: Proasellus ortizi
Lineage: Eukaryota; Metazoa; Arthropoda; Malacostraca; Isopoda; Asellidae
Description: transfert RNA-T(ACA)
Source: RNAcentral